AUUGAACGCUGGCGGCAUGCCUUACACAUGCAAGUCGAACGGUAACGGGUCCUUUGGGAUGCCGACGAGUGGCGAACGGGUGAGUAAUAUAUCGGAACGUGCCCAGUAGUGGGGGAUAACUGCUCGAAAGAGCAGCUAAUACCGCAUACGACCUGAGGGUGAAAGGGGGGGAUCGCAAGACCUCUCGCUAUUGGAGCGGCCGAUAUCAGAUUAGCUAGGUGGUGGGGCAAAGGCCUACCAAGGCAACGAUCUGUAGUUGGUCUGAGAGGACGACCAGCCACACUGGGACUGAGACACGGCCCAGACUCCUACGGGAGGCAGCAGUGGGGAAUUUUGGACAAUGGGCGCAAGCCUGAUCCAGCAAUGCCGCGUGCAGGAAGAAGGCCUUCGGGUUGUAAACUGCUUUUGUCAGGGAAGAAAUCUUCUGGGCUAAUACCCCGGGAGGAUGACGGUGCCUGAAGAAUAAGCACCGGCUAACUACGUGCCAGCCGCCGCCGUAA
RNAcentral lists this ribosomal RNA (500 nucleotides) under uncultured bacterium. RNAcentral's name for it is "partial 16S ribosomal RNA". It matches the Rfam family "Bacterial small subunit ribosomal RNA", at positions 30 to 523 of the family's 1533-position model. The record is from RNAcentral.